RNAcentral lists this ribosomal RNA (491 nucleotides) under uncultured bacterium. Its description in RNAcentral is "partial 16S ribosomal RNA". It matches the Rfam family "Bacterial small subunit ribosomal RNA", at positions 29 to 507 of the family's 1533-position model. The record is from RNAcentral.
AGUGGACGCUGGCGGUAGGCCUAACACAUGCAAGUCGAACGGCAGCACAGUAAGAGCUUGCUCUUACGGGUGGCGAGUGGCGGACGGGUGAGGAAUACAUCGGAAUCUACUUUUUCGUGGGGGAUAACGUAGGGAAACUUACGCUAAUACCGCAUACGACCUACGGGUGAAAGCAGGGGAUCUUCGGACCUUGCGCGAUUGAAUGAGCCGAUGUCGGAUUAGCUAGUUGGCGGGGUAAAGGCCCACCAAGGCGACGAUCCGUAGCUGGUCUGAGAGGAUGAUCAGCCACACUGGAACUGAGACACGGUCCAGACUCCUACGGGAGGCAGCAGUGGGGAAUAUUGACAAUGGGCGCAAGCCUGAUCCAGCCAUACCGCGUGGGUGAAGAAGGCCUUCGGGUUGUAAAGCCCUUUUGUUGGGAAAGAAAAGCAGCAGGUUAAUACCCCGCUGUUCUGACGGUACCCAAAGAAUAAGCACCGGCUAACUUCGUG